CGGUGAAUACGUUCCCGGGCCUUGUACACACCGCCCGUCAAGCCAUGGAAGCUGGGGGUGCCUGAAGUGCGUAACCGCAAGGAGCGUCCUAGGGUAAAACCGGUAACUGGGCU
RNAcentral lists this ribosomal RNA (113 nucleotides) under uncultured bacterium. Its description in RNAcentral is "partial 16S ribosomal RNA". It matches the Rfam family "Bacterial small subunit ribosomal RNA", at positions 1360 to 1482 of the family's 1533-position model. The record is from RNAcentral.